Molecule: ribosomal RNA, 478 nt
Filed under: uncultured bacterium
Lineage: Bacteria
Description: partial 16S ribosomal RNA
Rfam family: Bacterial small subunit ribosomal RNA
Source: RNAcentral
GACGAACGCUGGCGGCGUGCUUAACACAUGCAAGUCGAACGGUAAGGCCCUUCGGGGUACACGAGUGGCGAACGGGUGAGUAAGACGCGGGUGAUCUGCCCUGCACUUCGGGAUAAGCCUGGGAAACUGGGUCUAAUACCGGAUAGGACCACUGCCUGCAUGGGUGGUGGUGGAAAGCUUUUGCGGUGUGGGAUGGGCCCGCGGCCUAUCAGCUUGUUGGUGGGGUGAUGGCCUACCAAGGCGACGACGGGUAGCCGGCCUGAGAGGGUGACCGGCCACACUGGGACUGAGAUACGGCCCAGACUCCUACGGGAGGCAGCAGUGGGGAAUAUUGCACAAUGGGCGCAAGCCUGAUGCAGCGACGCCGCGUGAGGGAUGACGGCCUUCGGGUUGUAAACCUCUUUCAUCACCGACGAAGCGCAAGUGACGGUAGGUGCAGAAGAAGGACCGGCCAACUACGUGCCAGCCGCCGCGGUAA